UACGGAAGGUGCAAGCGUUGUUCGGAAUGACUGGGCGUAAAGGGCGCGUAGGCGGGUUUUUAAGUCGGUUGUGAAAUCCCUGGGCUUAACCCAGGAACAGCAGCCGAAACUGAGAGUCUUGAAUAUCUGAGAGGUUAGUGGAAUUCCAGGUGUAGGAGUGAAAUCCGUAGAUAUCUGGAGGAACAUCGGAGGCGAAGGCGGCUAACUGGCAGAAUAUUGACGCUGAGGCGCGAAAGUGCGGGGAGCAAACAGG
Molecule: ribosomal RNA, 253 nt
Filed under: uncultured bacterium
Lineage: Bacteria
Description: partial 16S ribosomal RNA
Rfam family: Bacterial small subunit ribosomal RNA
Source: RNAcentral